UACGGGGGGAGCAAGCGUUGUUCGGGUUUACUGGGCGUAAAGGGCGCGUAGGCGGUCAGCACAAGUCAGUUGUGAAAUCUCCGGGCUUAACUCGGAAAGGUCAACUGAUACUGUGCGACUAGAGUGCGGAAGGGGCAACUGGAAUUCUCGGUGUAGCGGUGAAAUGCGUAGAUAUCGAGAGGAACACCUGCGGCGAAGGCGGGUUGCUGGGCCGACACUGACGCUGAUGCGCGAAAGCCAGGGGAGCGAACGGG
Molecule: ribosomal RNA, 254 nt
Filed under: uncultured bacterium
Lineage: Bacteria
Description: partial 16S ribosomal RNA
Rfam family: Bacterial small subunit ribosomal RNA
Source: RNAcentral